UCUAAUAUGGCAGAAAAGUGCAAUAAACUUAAGAUUUAUUUAUAAGAACAUUAGUCUUUAUUAGAA
This 66-nucleotide transfer RNA is filed under the name Callitettix biformis. Its description in RNAcentral is "tRNA-Leu". Lineage: Eukaryota; Metazoa; Arthropoda; Insecta; Hemiptera; Cercopidae. The record is from RNAcentral.